Molecule: ribosomal RNA, 268 nt
Filed under: uncultured bacterium
Lineage: Bacteria
Description: partial 16S ribosomal RNA
Rfam family: Bacterial small subunit ribosomal RNA
Source: RNAcentral
GUCCUAGCCCUAAACGAUGCUCAUUAGAUGUGGGAGGUAUCGACCCCUUCCGCGUCGCAGCUAACGCAUUAAAUGAGCCGCCUGGGGAGUACGGCCGCAAGGUUGAAACUCAAAAGGAAUUGACGGGGGCCCGCACAAGCGGUGGAACAUGUGGUUUAAUUCGACGCAACGCGAAGAACCUUACCCGGGCUUGAACUACAGAUGGUAGGUCCCUAGAAACAGGGGCCGACCCGCAAGGGAGUCUGCAGAGGUGCUGCAUGGUUGUCGU